This 494-nucleotide ribosomal RNA is filed under the name uncultured bacterium. RNAcentral's name for it is "SSU rRNA". It matches the Rfam family "Bacterial small subunit ribosomal RNA", at positions 26 to 518 of the family's 1533-position model. The record is from RNAcentral.
AGAGCGAACGCUGGCGGCGUGCUUAACACAUGCAAGUCGAACGCGCAGCAUUCUGUAGCAAUACAGGGUGUGGGCGCGUGGCGAACGGGUGCGUAACACGUGGAUAACCUUCCUUCGGGUGGGGAAUAACCCAGUGAAAAUUGGGCUAAUACCGCAUAACAUCGCGAUGGCACAUGCCGUUGCGUUCAAAGGCGCAAGUCGCCAGAAGAGGGAUCCGCGGCCGAUUAGCUUGUUGGCGGGGUAACGGCCCACCAAGGCUUUGAUCGGUAGCCGGACUGAGAGGUUGGCCGGCCACACUGGAACUGAGACACGGUCCAGACUCCUACGGGAGGCAGCAGUGGGGAAUCUUGCACAAUGGACGAAAGUCUGAUGCAGCAACGCCGCGUGGGGAUGAAGCUUCUCGGAGUGUAAACCCCUUUCGACCCGGACGAAUGCCCGCAAGGGUUUGACGGUACGGGUAUAAGAAGCCCCGGCUAACUCGUGCCAGCAGCCGC